This 1172-nucleotide long non-coding RNA is filed under the name Felis catus (domestic cat). RNAcentral describes it as "lncRNA (ENSFCAG00000048561.1)". The record is from RNAcentral. Lineage: Eukaryota; Metazoa; Chordata; Mammalia; Carnivora; Felidae.
GGCUGGGUCUCUCUGUCCCCCUCCCAUGGUGGCCUGCACCAUCCAGCCCUGGGUACCCCAAAGUGUAUGGCCCUAAGUCCACCUUCCAGACUCUGCCCCAGCUGCCCAGAACACACAGGUUUCCAGAACCACAAUGAUCCACUGGCCUAACAGCACCUCCAGCCCCAUCCUGUGUCCCUGUGUCCUUGUGUCCCCUUGUCCCAUAUGCUGGGUUCUUCCCAGCCCUGUGUCUGUAUGCUGCCAUGUACUGUGUCCCUGUGUCCUGUUUCCCCAUGUCCCAUGUCCAGUGUCCCUGUGUCCCCAUGUCCCUAUGUCCCAUGUCCCAUUUCCAGCCCUGUAUCCCUGUGACUUGUAUACCCAAGUCUUGUGUCCUGUGUCCCAUGUCCUGUGUCCUGGUUCCUCCCAGCCCCACGUCCCUCUGUCUUCAUGUUCCAUUCCCAGACCUGUGCCCCUGUGUCUCUAUGCCCCUAUAUCCCCAUGUCCUAUGUCCCUGUGUCCUGUGCCUCCAUGAUCUGUGUCCCCAUGUCCUGUGUCCCUGUAUCUUGUGUUCCAUGUCCCCAUGUCCCAUUCCCAGCCCUGUGUCCCAUGUCUUGUGUCCCCAUGUCCUAUAUCCCUAUGUCCUGUGUCCCCAUGUCCCUAUGUCCCCAUAUCCUGUGUCCAUGUCCUGUGUCACUGUUUUCUCAUGUCCUGUGUCCCUGUGUCCUGUGUCCCCAUGUCCUGUGUUCAUGUUCUGUGUCCCCAUGCCCCACAUCUUGUGUCCCAUGUCCUGUGUCCCUGUGUCCUAUGUCCCUGUGUCCCCGUGUCCUGUGUCCCCAUGUCCUGUGUCCCGUGUCCCUCUCCACGAUCUCAGCUCCCUCAAACACACUCACAUGCACACACUAUCACACAGGCUUGCACACACUUACACACACAUGCCCCCCCCCACCAGCUUCCCCCUGUGUGCCCCAGAUGUCCCAAUGCCCAGUUUGCCCUUCCACCCACCUCCCUACAGACAGCCCUUGACCCACCUAGACCAGCUCCCAUGUCACCAGGCAGGCCCAUCCCGUGGCCAAGCACCAAUGCCUCAGGCUGGCUGGGAGAAUACCUACUCCCCUUAUUCCUAACAUGGAGGGCAGAGGGUGGCCCCCAUGGCAUGGUUGUGGGUCCCCCUAGCCUCAUGUCCAGGCUCAGAG